Molecule: ribosomal RNA, 392 nt
Filed under: uncultured bacterium
Lineage: Bacteria
Description: partial 16S ribosomal RNA
Rfam family: Bacterial small subunit ribosomal RNA
Source: RNAcentral
AUACGGAGGAUCCGAGCGUUAUCCGGAUUUAUUGGGUUUAAAGGGUGCGCAGGCGGCCAUUUAAGUCAGCGGUUAAAUCGUGGGGCUCAACCCCAUUCUGCCGUUGAUACUGGGUGGCUUGAUUGCGGUCGAGGUUGGCGGAAUUCGUUGUGUAGCGGUGAAAUGCAUAGAUCUGACGAAGAACACCGAUUGCGUAGGCAGCUGACCAGACCGCAAAUGACGCUCAUGCACGAAAGUGCGGGGAGUGAACAGGUUUAGAUCCCCUGGUAGGCCGCACAGUAAACGUUUAAUACUUGUUUUCGGAGAUAUAAUUUCGAAGGUAAAGCGAAAACUAUAAUUAUUCCACCUGGGGAGUACUCCGGCAACGGUGAAACUCAAAGGAAUUGACGAUG